Molecule: long non-coding RNA, 718 nt
Filed under: Capsicum annuum
Lineage: Eukaryota; Viridiplantae; Streptophyta; Magnoliopsida; Solanales; Solanaceae
Description: long non-coding RNA (CANN_LNC001238)
Source: RNAcentral
UCCACCAUUCUUUACCGCGUUGUCACCGGUAAUUAUGGUCUUAGUUGGUCCUUCACCAAUUAACACUACAUUAAGUUUGUCCUUUUCGAUCUCAAUAUUCUCCUUGUAUAUACCCUCCUUGAUGAGGAUAACAAAAGGCUUAGUGUUUUUUUUUGGGACAGCAUUAAUUGCGUCCUUGAUGGUCUUGUAUUGUCCACUCCCAUCUGCAGAAACUACAGCAUUAGGUUGGGCACUUGAAAUCUGAAGGAGUUUACGAUUACUGGCUUCGAUGAUUGAAUCACUGUUCGAUAAUAAUUUACGCGUAAGUCCUGUAGUUUGUGUGAUCAUUUGACCAAAGCUAUCGACCAUGUAAAGGACAUUAAGAGUAAGCUCCUGAGUGGUGUUCAUUAAUUUUGCCAUUUUUUCACGCGUUUCACUAUAUUCUUUCUUUGUAAAACCAUCCAAACAAGUGUCUUCAUAAGCAAGAACUGCGCUAAGCCAUGUCUUUAGGUCAUCCACAACAUCCUUGAUCAUGGAGAUAUCAAAGUUUUGUAUUUUGGUAAUAGAGGUCCUUAGAUCCUCAGCGGCAAGGUCAAACAACUGUUCACAAGCUAGGAGAGCAUCUUUCGUAUAUGGAUCACUGGCAGCUUUCUUGAUUGGUUCGAUGCUCUUGAUGAUAUUCUUUAAUUCAGUCACAGUCGCUUCGAAUGCAACCUUGAUAUAAUCCUUUGGGUCCGAC